This 478-nucleotide ribosomal RNA is filed under the name uncultured bacterium. Its description in RNAcentral is "partial 16S ribosomal RNA". It matches the Rfam family "Bacterial small subunit ribosomal RNA", at positions 28 to 523 of the family's 1533-position model. The record is from RNAcentral.
GACGAACGCUGGCGGCGUGCUUAACACAUGCAAGUCGAACGGUAAGGCCCUUCGGGAUACACGAGUGGCGAACGGGUGAGUAACACGUGGGUGAUCUGCCCUGCACUUCGGGAUAAGCCUGGGAAACUGGGUCUAAUACCGGAUAGGACCACUGCCUGCAUGGGUGGUGGUGGAAAGCUUUUGCGGUGUGGGAUGGGCCCGCGGCCUAUCAGCUUGGUGGUGGGGUGAUGGCCUACCAAGGCGACGACGGGUAGCCGGCCUGAGAGGGUGACCGGCCACACUGGGACUGAGAUACGGCCCAGACUCCUACGGGAGGCAGCAGUGGGGAAUAUUGCACAAUGGGCGCAAGCCUGAUGCAGCGACGCCGCGUGAGGGAUGACGGCCUUCGGGUUGUAAACCUCUUUCAGCACCGACGAAGCGCAAGUGACGGUAGGUGCAGAAGAAGGACCGGCCAACUACGUGCCAGCCGCCGCAGUAA